RNAcentral lists this ribosomal RNA (230 nucleotides) under uncultured bacterium. RNAcentral describes it as "partial 16S ribosomal RNA". It matches the Rfam family "Bacterial small subunit ribosomal RNA", at positions 32 to 248 of the family's 1533-position model. The record is from RNAcentral.
AAUCAACGCUGGCGGCGUGCCUAACACAUGCAAGUCGAACGCGAAAGUGGAGCAAUCCAUGAGUAGAGUGGCAAACGGGUGAGUAACGCGUGGGCGACCUGCCUUCGAGUGGGGGAUAACAUUCCGAAAGGGAGUGCUAAUACCGCAUAACAUCCUUCGUUUAGAUACGAGGUGAUCAAAGCCGGGAGCAAUUCUGGCGCUUAAAGAGGGGCCCGCGUCCGAUUAGCUAG